ACUAUCAUAGUUCGGUGGUUAGAACGCCCGCAGAGGUUUAAUCGCUGAAGCGGAAGGUCGAGGGUUCGAUUCCCUCUAGUGGCA
This is a non-coding RNA of Mycena capillaripes, 84 nucleotides long. The record is from the annotation of a GenBank genome assembly. NCBI's taxonomy places the organism in Eukaryota, Fungi, Basidiomycota, Agaricomycetes, Agaricales, Mycenaceae.